ACUGCUGCUAAUCUAUCGCCGCUGCCAACCUAUCCCUCGCUGCUAAUCUAUCCCUCGCUGCUAAUCUAUCCCUCGCUGCUAAGCUAUCCCUCGCUGGCUAAGCUAUCCCUCGCUGGCUAUCCCUCACUGCUAAGCUAUCGCCGCUGCCAACCUAUCUAUUGCUGCUAAGCUAUCCCUCGCUGCUAAUCUAUCCCUCGCUGCUAAGCUAUCCCUCGCUGCUAAGCUAUCUAUCGCUGCUAAUCUAUCGCUGCCAAUGUAUCGCUGCCAAUGUAUCGCUGCUGCCAACCUAUCUACCGCGGCGAAUCUAUCUAUCGCUGCCAAUUUAUCUACCACUGCCAAUCUAUCUAUCGCUGCCAAUCUAUUGCUGCUAAUCUAUCGCUGCUAAUCUAUUGCUGCUGUCAAUCUAUCUAUCACUGCUAAUCUAUCGCUGCUGCCAAUCUAUCUAUCACUGCUAAUCUAUCGCUGCCAAUGUAUCGCUGCUGCCAAUCUAUCUAUCACUGCUAAUCUAUCGCUGCCAAUGUAUCGCUGCUGCCAAUCUAUCUAUCACUGCUAAUCUAUCGCUGCCAACCUAUCUACCGCGGCGAAUCUAUCUAUUGCUGCCAACCAACCUACCUACCACUGCCAACCUAUCUAUCGCUGCCAAUCUAUCGCUGCCAACCUAUCUACUGCAGUGAAUCUAUCUAUCACUAUCAUUACUAGUUCAAAAUAGAACUAGAGCAUAAAUACACUAAACUUCUUUUGAUAGAUAAUGAUUUUUGGUAACACUCAUAGCAUUAUAUCAUCUACAGUAAUUUAUAAGAAGAACAUGACCUGGGACUAGAUUUAUAAUAUAAACAGUGUAAAGUGACUAAUUUAAUAAACACUAUAUGGGACCAGGACUAAGAAAUUUGAUAAUGGGACUGGAGAAAUAUUUAGUCCCAGUCCCAUGCAUGGUCACACAGCCAGUCUAAUAGUGAAGUCUCUUCAUCAAGAAUGACUCAGUUAUGAAUAGAGAAAUGUAACUAGAG
RNAcentral lists this small RNA (1007 nucleotides) under Histoplasma ohiense. Its description in RNAcentral is "hypothetical lncRNA". The record is from RNAcentral. Lineage: Eukaryota; Fungi; Ascomycota; Eurotiomycetes; Onygenales; Ajellomycetaceae.